CCUACGGGUGGCAGCAGUGGGGAAUAUUGGGCAAUGGGCGCAAGCCUGACCCAGCAACGCCGCGUGAAGGAAGAAGGCUUUCGGGUUGUAAACUUCUUUUCUGAGGGACGAAGAAAGUGCCGGUACCUCAGGAAUAAGCCACGGCUACCUACGUGCCAGCAGCCGCGGUAAGACGUAGGUGGCAAGCGUUCACCGGAUUUCUUGGGUGUACAGGGCGAGUGGGCGGGAAGGCAAGUCAGAUGUGAAAACUCAGGGCUUAACCCUGAGCCUGCAUUUGAAACUGUUUUUCUUGAGUGCUGGAGAGGCAAUCGGAAUUCCGUGUGUAGCGGUGAAAUGCGUAGAUAUACGGAGGAACACCAGUGGCGAAGGCGGAUUGCUGGACAGUAACUGACGCUGAGGCGCGAAAGCGUGGGGAGCAAACAGGAUUAGAUACCCCUGUAGUC
RNAcentral lists this ribosomal RNA (443 nucleotides) under uncultured bacterium. RNAcentral's name for it is "partial 16S ribosomal RNA". It matches the Rfam family "Bacterial small subunit ribosomal RNA", at positions 338 to 795 of the family's 1533-position model. The record is from RNAcentral.